GAUGAAGAACGUAGCGAAAUGCGAUAACUAAUGUGAAUUGCAGAAUUCCGUGAAUCAUCGAGUCUUUGAACGCACAUUGCGCCCCCUGGUAUUCCGGGGGGCAUGCCUGUCCGAGCGUCAUUACAACCCUCAAGCCCGGCUUGUGUAAUGGGCGGCCGUCUCUCCCCCCGGGGGGAGACGCCCCCGAAACUCAGUGGGGAUGUCGCGAUACCGAAGCCUCAGCUAAUGGGUAAACCACAGCUGCAAUGGCCGCGGCCGGCGUCCGCCUUCUACGGUCCGUCCGCCUAGCGCGGGCGGCCUUCUCAAGGUUGACCUCGGAUCAGGUAGGGAUACCCGCUGAACUUAAGCAUAUCAAUAAGCGGAGGA
Molecule: unclassified non-coding RNA, 366 nt
Filed under: soil metagenome
Description: partial contains 5.8S ribosomal RNA, internal transcribed spacer 2, and large subunit ribosomal RNA
Rfam family: 5.8S ribosomal RNA (bases 1-120)
Source: RNAcentral